RNAcentral lists this long non-coding RNA (249 nucleotides) under Phoenix dactylifera (date palm). Its description in RNAcentral is "long non-coding RNA (PDAC_LNC004519)". Lineage: Eukaryota; Viridiplantae; Streptophyta; Magnoliopsida; Arecales; Arecaceae. The record is from RNAcentral.
UUUCCUAUUCUGCUCUCGCUUCACAUGGUAAACAGUAUUGCCAAGAACAAUUCCAUGGCCCUUUUUUUUUAAGUAUUUUUUUUUAAUAUUUUCAUUCAAGAAUUAUAUUAAACUGAAGAGGCUUUUUGUCGACCUUUAUUAGAUUCAUGCAUCUUUGUUGAAAUAGUAUACUUGACAGCAAUCUAUUUCCAUAACAUUUUUUUAAGUAUUUUAUAUUUAUUAAAAAAAUUAUUAUUUAAAAAAAAGAGG